Molecule: ribosomal RNA, 21 nt
Filed under: Aureobasidium pullulans
Lineage: Eukaryota; Fungi; Ascomycota; Dothideomycetes; Dothideales; Saccotheciaceae
Description: partial small subunit ribosomal RNA
Source: RNAcentral
CUUCCGUAGGUGAAACUGCGG